GUCCACGCCGUAAACAAUGGGCACUAGUUAUUGUAGGUAUAAACUCCUGCGGUGACGCAGCUAACGCAUUAAGUGCCCCGCCUGGGGAGUACGGUCGCAAGAUUAAACUCAAAGGAAUUGACGGGGCCCGCACAAGCGGUGGAUUAUGUGGUUUAAUUCGAAGCAACGCGCAGAACCUUACCUGGGCUUGAACUCCCUCGAAUUUGGUAGAAGUAUCGAAGUGCCCGCAAGGGAAUGAGGUGAGAGGUGCUGCAUGGCUGUCGU
This 264-nucleotide ribosomal RNA is filed under the name uncultured bacterium. RNAcentral's name for it is "partial 16S ribosomal RNA". It matches the Rfam family "Bacterial small subunit ribosomal RNA", at positions 793 to 1055 of the family's 1533-position model. The record is from RNAcentral.